CUUCUGGAAAACGGUAGUGAAGAAAACAAUAAACAAACCUACGGCAGAGCCAGCACGAACAGCAGAGCACAAACUUCCGAAAGGAAGAAGAGAACCACGGUGCCGGUAGGAACGGCAGCGAUUUGGUGACCUGAGAAGAGAACCACCGCACGCUACCACGCCGAUGACCGGACGACAACGACGUCACAAACUGCGGCAACAACGACGGCGUGGAGAACAAAGAGAACGACAGCGCCUCGCGAACAAAGGGUGCCUUCCGUCGGGAUAGGGAAAGAGAGCCCUGAAAGCGUCCUCGAGUAGAGGCGGAUGCGUCGGUCUUCCGCAAGCAGUAGACGACAAGAAGAACGAACCCUACCCCGCGAGCAGUAGAGGACAUGAACGAACCCUAAUCGCGAAAUCUCUUCAGAGGUGUUUGAUUGUGGUGAAGGUUGAGUGAUGCAAUGCGUUGUUUGGCUUCAUUUGAUGAGAGAAAAUUGUACUACUGCUUCUUGGUGCCAUUGACUCUCCCUAUAAUUGUUGUUGCUGUGUACUUUCAUUGGCUCA
Long non-coding RNA from Vigna angularis (adzuki bean), 543 nucleotides. RefSeq lists it as uncharacterized. The transcript has 3 exons. The record is from RefSeq and is a predicted model, not a curated record. Lineage: Eukaryota; Viridiplantae; Streptophyta; Magnoliopsida; Fabales; Fabaceae.